AAAAAAAAAAAAAAGAAAGAAAGAAAUUUAAGUUGAUUUCACAAGACAAAUAACUAUUGUGCUUAUAUGUAAAUGAUGUUUCUGAUAGAUUAGUGAAUUAAUUAAAUAUGAAUUAUUGUAGUUUUUGCAACCACCAUGUUGGCACAUAUUAGACCCUGGACAUAACAUGUGUUUAUCUGAAAGUACAUUUUGCUUAAUAAAAGAAAAAAAAUUGUGGCCUCUGAUUUGAUAAUUGAUGUGGCAUAGGAAGAAAAGCAUAUAGUUAUAAUGCCUGAGUUUAUUGAAUUCUCUUUGAGCUUAGGAAAUCAUCAAUGUUUUAAGUCUCAGUUUGCUCAUCAAUUGGGGGGUUGACAAUCCUUGUUCUGGGGUAAAUCUUACAAUAAAAAAAGGAUCAUAGAAAGGGUCUGAGCAGAAGAAAGUCCUAUACCAGCAUGUUGAUGGUGACUUUGAGAAGCUAUUAGGCUGUAUAAUUUCAUCUCUAACGGAGCCAAAAACGAAAUAGCAAAAGUCAGCUGGGAGUAACUUAAAUAACUUCAUCUGUAGGAAAUAUCCCCAUCCAUUACCAGGAUGUUUCUGAAAACUUGCCAAACAGCAGAGCAGGUGUCAUAGUCCAGGUCACAGGUAAAAGCCAAAUUCUGAAGGAAAUCUCACCUGGAAUCACCCCCUUAUUUUGCUCUUUUGUAGAUUCUUGCACGUAUUAAACUCAGCAUUUGACAUCGUAUCUGUCUUUCCCUAGAUUCAAGCAGCAGAAUCCGUUUGUCUUAUUUCGUUUCAUCUCCAAAUCCUAGAGCACUGCCUGACACAGUCUUCAGUGUUCAGUAAAUAUUUGGUGAAUGAAUGAAUAUUGCAUAAAUUAAGAGAUUUCUAGGAUCAUCGUAAUAGAGGAAAUACUAAUUUUUCAAGUUCAUUAUUCUGCCAAAAAAGACUGUCAUUGUGUUCUUGCUGAUACUGAACAGAUGCUGUAGUAACAAAUCCAGAACUUUUUAUAAAAUUCAAGUAAAGACAACAGCGAGAUAGUCAUUAAUGCUUAAAAUAAAGCCUGAAACUUGAUGUUGAAAACUUGAGAGAAGUUCAGAUACCUUUAUUCAUUAGACCAAUACUUCCUUACAUGUCCUUUGACUUUGUAAAUGCGAAGAACUAUUCUAACACACACUCAAGCAGCUGAAGCAAUUCAAGUUGGGAAUGAAAUUCAGUCUCGCUCUAAAGAAAACAUGGUACAUGUGCCACCAUUUGGUGAGAUUAUGGUGUUGCAAAUAAUCAUUGCUAAUUUUCUCAUCAGAAUAGAAUAGGAAACUUCUUUGAAUCAUAUAAUAAUUUAUUUUAUUUAAAAUCAGAAAUAAUGCUUAAAGGUUUUUGUUUUUGUUUUUCAAACCACGGCUUAAAGCAUGUCUCAAAUAUAAACUCUAAAUCCAUACUUUAAAAAUAUCAUGUAUCAAUUUCUGGUUGAAAGACACUUAGCAGUUUGGGAUCACUUGAAGGAAAGAUUUUUGCAUACAUGACCCACUAGUGAUUGUUCUGUGUGUUAAUUUCUGACCAGUGAAAAAGGGGCCAAGGUGAUUCUAAGCUGUGGGCCACUAUUUCUUGUCUAAGUUUUCAGGACCCAAGAGGCUGCACUUGCUGUUUUGUGUGAAGCUUGAUCCUCAACUCAAGAGACCAAAUUUCCUUGGGUGGUUUUGUUCCUCCAUUGGCUCUGAAGUUUAUUCUCCAAAACUGUACCCAAAGACAGCAUUCCAGGAAUAAGGCUUUGCCUUCUGAGGGGGCACCGCCAUCUGUCCUAGAGCCGAAGGUUCACUUGAAAUCAGCCCUGGGGAAGGUGUAUUCUCACUGGUAAUAACUCUGUGGCUGAAUUCCCCAAUUCUGCCUGGCUCACCCAUAGGGUCUUACUUGCUGUGGGGUCUGCUCGCCUAGAUCCCCAUGGUGUCUCCAUGAAAGUGAGGACACUACCUGCUGCCACUAAGCUCCCUGGAAGUUACAGGGGCCACACAGGAAAAGUGAUAUAGGAAAACUUGAAUUUUGCCUACCUGUUGCCACCUUCUUCCAUCCAAUUUCUCUGCCACACGUGACAUUUGACACAACUGGUUAGUAGAUUUUAAAUAGUCCCCAAACAAGAGUGGAUUUGGAAAGUGACAUGUUCUGAUAAUUGCAGUUUUUACUUUUAAUUCUUUUUUAUUUCCAAGUUUUCUGAUUCGCAUUUUCAAAAGAACUGGAAAGUCCUCUUCUUAGCUCUAAAAAAAGAUUUAGAGGAAUGCUAAUGUUAACAUUUGACAUAUAUUUUAAGGUAAAAUUGAUUUCUCUAAUAUACUUAAAAUAGACUAUGGGUAGUUGCUGAAAAAUUCUGAGGUAUAAUUCAGUUCUCCUAGAUUAUUCAGUUCAGUGUGUUAUAUUGAUGGCAUAAGUAAGUUCCAUCUUCAAGAAAGAAUAUUAGAAUUGUGCUAACAAACAGAUUUCCUGAAAUUGUAUCCUAGCUAUCAAAGACCAUUUGCAUGUACUUUUGAAAAAUGUCAUUGACAAUUAGCAGAGUCCCUGUUGAAUUAAUUUGACCUGUAUGGAAACAAAUAACUCCGUUGUGACCGAAUGAAGUUCUGCAAUUUUUAGAAAAGAUAACCUUCCUUUUAGCUGCAAUUUCAGAGUAAUCUGACAUAUGCCAUUCAGUUAACAGUUAAAUUAAAAUGCCAUAUAAGUCGGGAAGAAUUGUCUUCUCUUAACAAUCCAUAUGUCACACCACCUCUUCAGGCCACAGAGGUAAGUAUUUGGUGAGGACAGACUAUUUUUUACCUUCAGAUAAAUAUAUCAUGUUUUACAACAGAUUUAGGGUGUCUUGGGCUGUCCAUGCAAUUCAUUUAAUGAAUUCCAUUUGAAGGUUGUUUCUACAGAGCAUAUAAAACAGGUCAUAGUAGUUAGAAAAUGUAUGUGAUUUCUGGGAACUAAAACAAUAGCCUGUGAUUUAAAACAAAAAAAAAAAAACAGGAUCAAACAAAACAUUGCAACUAUAUCGUUUUGUUAUUUAUAGUAUUGACUACUAUUGCUGGAUCAUUGUUAAGAAGGAUUCACAUACUGAAAUAAAAGGACAGUUUUUGUUUUCAUUUCUGUUUUCUACCCAGAUAUAGUGAGAACUUUGUAAAACAACUGCCACUGUCUGAUUCCAUGGGCUUGGCGGUGUCAUGUCUCUGAAGAAUUCAUCUUCAGGGAAGAUGGCAAAUAGUUUUUGCUGUUGUUGAGUAUUAUGUUUGAGGAUGAAAAUUCCCUGAUAUGAAUUAGAUAAAAAAAGUUUCUGGUUACAGAUAGUCAGGAAUUGCACGGUACAGCAGCGAAGAAAGUGAAACUGGAAAAAAACAAGUUAACACCAUAGAAAUAGUAGAAUAAAAGGGUUAAGUGACAAAAUUAGGACUAGAUUUUGAACCCCUUCUAAGUCACAGGAAUUUUUACCAAAAAAGUUUCCUUUUGGAUUUUGACCCAAAUAACAUAUAUAAUAGUAAAAUAUAAAUACUAUUUUAGACCAAAUUUAGAAAUAUUCUUAAGAUCUUAGAAAAGUACAUUUCAAAACUAUUUUAAAACUUUUAAAUUAUCAGUUACAAUGAUUACCACAAAAACUUGAUUCUUUCAAUUAAUGAAAGGACCCUGAAUAUGUGUGAAACAUUACGAAAUGGCUUAUACCUAGGUACACAUCUCAACAACACAUGCAUACUGAUUAUUGUAAAUCAUUUUGCACUUUUCUUGCAUCAGUACAUAUUAUUAGCACUGAAAUAGUCUCUUUUCCUUUUUUGGGGGGACUGUCUUUUCUCCUUUAGAAAGUAGGCACCUGGAUUAAUAAAUCACUCAAAAGUGUUCUUUGUGCAUUCCUUGCUGUUUUCCUUACAAAGAAAUUCUAAGAAUUAGCAAAAAUUGAUGUCACCAUUUGUUUUAGAGUGGAUGGCUGUGCGUGGUUAUUUUAAUUGUAGUGUCUACCAUUAAUUAAUGACAUUUGAAAAAUGUAUUAGCUAAGUGUAAUAAUGCUUUGUUUAUCAUCAAAAUCUAGUUGAGAUGGAAGCGGGGAGUUCAUACACCUUUGAAGACUGAGCAUUUAAGUGCUAAAAACACUUUGCACAUGUUAAGGUAUUGUUAAAAUAACUUAUUUUCAUUUUGGUAAUAGUGUGAAAUGGGACUGAAUGCACAAUUGACAUUUUUUAAGACUGAAAAUGGCACUUCAAUAUUCCUUAGUAAUUGGGAGUUUCCUGGUGACCUAAGUGGCUAAGGAUCCAGUGUUGUAA
RNAcentral lists this long non-coding RNA (4247 nucleotides) under Sus scrofa (pig). Its description in RNAcentral is "lncRNA (ENSSSCG00000054507.1)". The record is from RNAcentral. Lineage: Eukaryota; Metazoa; Chordata; Mammalia; Artiodactyla; Suidae.